UCCCGAAAUUACUAGGUAAGUAAAUUAAAAAUUUUUACGUUGUAUAGUAUAUAUAUUAUUUAUUUACAGGAAUGAAAAAUUUUCAUUAGUAAUGAUAACUGGAUUUUUAGUAAAAGUAUUUAGUACUUAAAUCAAUUAAAAAGUAUUUAGAUUUUUUAGAAAAAGAAUUAUAAGUUGAUUAUUUAUUAUAUAAAAUAAUUUUUUAAUAAUUAAUGUAAAUUAAAAUAAUUUUUUAUUUAUAUCUUUUUUUUAUUAAAAAAUAUAAUCAUAUUAUAAUUUGUAUUUUUUUUGUUAAAAUUAGUAGAAAAGUAAAAUUUUUUUAGGAAUUCGGCAAAAUUAUUUCAACUGUUUAUCAAAAACAUAGUUUAAGGAAAUAAUCUUAAAUGUAUUCUGCCCAAUGAUUUUUUUUUAAUGGCCGCAGUACCUUGACUGUGCUAAGGUAGCAUAAUCAAUUGGCUUCUAAUUAAAGUCUGGAAUGAAAGGAAAAAUGAAGUAAUUCUGUCUUAAAAAAUUUUUUUUAAAUUUAUUUAAAUGAUGAAAAUAUCAUUUUUUAGAAAAAAGACGAGAAGACCCUUAGAGUUUUUAUUAUUUUUUUUGUUGGGGCGACAAGUAAACAAUUUGAACUUUACUAAUUUUUUUUAAAUCGAUUUUAAUAAUAAGAUUAAUUAAACUACCUUAGGGAUAACAGCAUUAUAUUAUAUAUGAUUGUGACCUCGAUGUUGGACUAGGAACUUUAUGGCUAGCCGUCAUAAAAGAUUUGUUCUGUUCGAACAAUUUUAUCCUACAUGAUCUGAGUUCAGACCGGCGUAAGCCAGGUCAGUUUCUAUCUUUUAUUUUAAUGUUUUUAGUACGAAAGGAUCGGAAUAUUUUUUUUAACUUGGCAGAUAAAUGCAAUUAAUUUAGAAUUAAUU
Molecule: ribosomal RNA, 911 nt
Filed under: Biomphalaria choanomphala
Lineage: Eukaryota; Metazoa; Mollusca; Gastropoda; Planorbidae
Description: 16S ribosomal RNA
Source: RNAcentral